RNAcentral lists this long non-coding RNA (997 nucleotides) under Rattus norvegicus (Norway rat). RNAcentral describes it as "long non-coding RNA NONRATT031625". The record is from RNAcentral. Lineage: Eukaryota; Metazoa; Chordata; Mammalia; Rodentia; Muridae.
AGAGGGUGGUUAAGGCAUACGGGGUGCAGGCAGAGAGGAGAAACAGCUCCUACUGUCCUGUCUCACAGUGGACUAACCAGACUUGUCAACAGUUCAUUGGACCUUUCAAAACAGCUAAUAGAUAGAUCGCCAGUAUCCUCAACACCUUUGUGCUGACAUGGUAAACGUUUAAGGUGAUGGAUAUGCCAGCUACCGUGGUCUCAGGGCCAGUGGACAUCAUAAAUGUAUAACAUGCUCUGUCCGUACAUUUGUACAGUUAAAUGUCUGUUAAAUGGUUUUUCAAAACUUUAAAAGCAGGGGCUAGGGAUAUAGCGAGGUACCAGAAUGCUUACAUAUAUGAUUCAGUCCCAGCUCUGUAAAUAUAAGACAGAAAAGUAAAAAAAAAAAAAAAUCUAGAUUCCCGAGGUCCACAGCAAAACCCCUAAAUAAAGUCUCCAGGUAUCAGGACUGCAAAGUUGGCUCGGAGGUGGAGAGCACUGGCUACUCUUACAGACGACCCAGUUCAAUUCCCAGCACCCACACGGAGGUUCAAAACCAUCUGUAACUCCAGUGUCAGGGCAUAUAGUACCCUCUCUGACCUCUGCAGGCACCAGGCAUGUAUAUGGUGCACAGACAGACAGACAGACAGACAGACACAAUCAAAAUAUCCAUACACUUUUUUUUUUAAUUUCCAGGUAUCAAAUGCCAGUAUCUGUUGCUCCUCUGAGCUCCUGAGAGAACUAACUCUCUGAGAUGACGAGGGACGCCGAACUGAGAUGCAAGCAAAGCUUCAAGUCUCACAGCGACGUCACACAGGGCAACAGUCACCUGCUUCCUAGGGCAGGUUCGGGAGGCACUGCCUCUGGAGAGUUGAGCCACCUGGAAAGGGAGAACUCCAGACAGCUGACUGGAUCCCUCUUCUGCAUGCAUCCAGAUGUUUGACGUCGUGUAAACAAGACAAUGUGCCCGCGAGCAGGAGCCACUCAGGAAUUAAAACUCUGUCACAGUAGAUGUGCUG